GCAGGCGCGGGGCUGAGCCAGGGGAGCAGAACACGGGCGGGUGCUGGUCCCACGACCUCCUCCUCGCACGCUCCCCGCCACGGACACCCAACAUACCAGCCCGCCGCCAGCUCCAGCACGAGGCCUGGCAGCCCUGGGGCUGAGCUAAUGGUCCCCGAAGGGCUCGGCGAGCAGCUGCUCCCUCCCCGCUAUUGUGUUUUUGGGACAAGCUGUCUUCCUGGCUGCCGUCCCCACCGGCUCCUGGCCCGAAUCCCCGGCACCGGGUCCUGCCCCGGGAGCACCCGUGAGCUGUUCUGGUCCGUCCCAA
Molecule: long non-coding RNA, 307 nt
Organism: Oxyura jamaicensis (ruddy duck)
Lineage: Eukaryota; Metazoa; Chordata; Aves; Anseriformes; Anatidae
Exons: 2
Source: RefSeq, a predicted model, not a curated record